UACAGAGGGUGCGAGCGUUAAUCGGAAUUACUGGGCGUAAAGCGUGCGUAGACGGUAGCGUAAGUCAGAUGUGAAAGCCCCGGGCUCAACCUGGGAACUGCAUUUGAGACUGCUCUGCUCGGGUGCGGAAGAGGGAAGCGGAAUUUCCGGUGUAGCGGUGAAAUGCGUAGAUAUCGGAAAGGAACACCAGUGGCGAAAGCGGCUUCCUGGUCCGACACCGACGUUCAGGCACGAAAGCGUGGGGAGCAAACAGG
Molecule: ribosomal RNA, 254 nt
Filed under: uncultured bacterium
Lineage: Bacteria
Description: partial 16S ribosomal RNA
Rfam family: Bacterial small subunit ribosomal RNA
Source: RNAcentral